This 118-nucleotide microRNA precursor is filed under the name Tetranychus urticae (two-spotted spider mite). Its description in RNAcentral is "microRNA tur-mir-10 precursor". Its record names the gene tur-mir-10. The stretch from base 21 to 95 matches the Rfam family "mir-10 microRNA precursor family". Rfam says of the family: In this case the mature sequence comes from the 5' arm of the precursor. The extents of the hairpin precursors are not generally known and are estimated based on hairpin prediction. Lineage: Eukaryota; Metazoa; Arthropoda; Arachnida; Trombidiformes; Tetranychidae. The record is from miRBase by way of RNAcentral.
GUGUUUGACCAACUAUUGCUCUACAUUCACCCUGUAGAUCCGAAUUUGUCAGAAAAUUGAUUUGCCACGAAUUCGGCUCUAGAGAGGUUUGUGUGGUGCAUAUCAUGCAUCAUCUACU